GUGAACACACAGUCAGAGAGCAGUGCUCUGGCGCCCCCCCACAAGGUUCUAGCCUGAGCCACUGUAGGCAUGUGGCUGCAUUUCCCAAAACAAAGCUUAUUGAGCCGGUGGGAGCCAACUUCACCUUCCAGACUUAAGUCUCUCUGACAGAGCUUUGUUAUAACAGAGAAGGAUUUUUGAGGGAAAGGAGUGAAAGUGCAGGUAGCCAGCAGUUGUCUCCCCACAGCGCACCUACCCUGCUGACAUUUCUCUUCAACUGGAAAAGGGAGUACAUACCUGAGUACAUCCAGUGUGUCCCCUGGGAGAACUGCAGGAACUUUCCAGCAGAACUGCCUAUGUACUUUUCUGAACUGGAAAGCCAAGGCUGAAGAAGGCUGAAGCUAAAGAGAACAGAAGGUUGUAUCUGCUGCAGUAAUUUGAAGUGACAGCUUGGCUUGAAGCACCCUCUAGUGGCGUGAGGAUUUCAGGUCUGAAAUCUGAAUAUCAGAUGGAAAGCUGAAUCUAAUGAGUCUCAACUAUCUCACAAGUCAAGGGACAGAAAAAGGAAAUGUGUAGCAAGAAGAGCAACUAAACAGAGGUUUCAGAGUGCUGAGAUCGUUGCAGCAGACUCUUCCUCCAUUUGGGGCAGUUCUGGGCAAUAGUCUCCCAUGAGUUGAUGUUGAAGUUGCAUUUUUUUCAAGUUAGCCUUGGGGAUGUCCUUAAAGUACUUUAUCUGCCUUCCUCUUGAGCAUACUUCUUGACUGAACUGGGAGAAUAAAACUUGCUUCGGAAGUCUGGAAUCAGACAUCCAGAUGACUUUGCCAGCCCAAUGAAGUUGAUGUCAGAUGAUCAUCACCUCGAUGCUAGUGUUUGCUUGUGACAGGACGCUAAAGUUGGUGUGUCUGUUUUCCCACUGGAUUUGGAGGAUCUUCCGCAUGCAGCAUUGAUGGUAUUUCUCCAGUGGCUUGAGAGGUCUCCUGUACAUCAUCCACAUUCUAGCUCCAUACAGUAAGGUGGGGAUCACAACUGCUUGAUAAACCAUGAGCUUUGUUUCAGCUCUAAUGUCACAAUCUUUGAACACCCAUUUCCUCAGGCAUCCAAAGGCUAAACUUGGACAUUUAAGGAGAUGUUAGGUUUCUUCAUCAAUGUCGGCCUUCUGCAAGAGAUGGCUUCCAAGGUACGGGAAAUACUUAACUUUCUCCAUAGUCUCAUCAUGAAUCUGAAUUAAUGGAGCAGGAGACUGCUUGUUAAUGGAGGACCUUAGUCUUCUGAAUGUUAAGCAUCAGUCCCAUUUUCUUGGAUGUUUCAGUAAAGAUGUCAAUGAUUGCCUGAAGGUCUGCUUCCAAGUGAGCACACACUGAUGACUGAGGUCAAGCUGGUCUUGGUUUUGGCUCAGUCAACUGAGAUUAAACAGUUUACCAUCCAUUCAGUAACUUAACUCCACUCUGACUGGAAGCUUGUUGGUGGUCAGAUGUACCAUCUUGGUAAGGAAUAUCAAAAAGAGUAUUGAAGUGAUGAAGUUUAAGGCUACUAAUAGUGCAGUACCUAAGAAGGAUCAAAAGAAUUAAUUACACACCUUGUAUCUCAGGCAGUAGGGCUGUGCAAAAUGGGCCCUAUUCCAUUUGGAUUCGGCCCAAAUGAGGCACAGUGAUUCAAUCCGUUGAUUCAGAUCACUGUUCCUGAUUUGAUUUGGCUGACUCUGAAGAUUCAAUGCUAAUUUGGCAAUUUGGACACAGGCACAACUUAAAAGGUUUUUUUCUACAUAUCUUGAGGUAGCAGGCAUGACUCAUGUUUGCUGAAUUUUUUGCAUAAGCCAGCUGGGGUGCAUGGAACAUCCCACAGGAGCAUGGGGGGCUCUCUAGUGUGCUCGGCAGUGAACCUGGAAGUGGACCGGAAGUGCUUCUGGUCCUCUGCCAAGGAGUGCUGGGGGGGGUCCCUAUAUCUCCCAGCUCAGCAAUCGGCCAUGGGGGAACCCCGGGUGCCCCCCGCUAGACACUGGGCACCAGUAGCUGAGCCAGGAGGAGGCGGGGGCUAGGUGAUUUAAAUGAAACACUUCCAAUAUAUAAAUCUAUAUAUCAUAGUGUUUCAUUUUUAAUUGUGGAAAAAUGUGGAUUUGGGGUUACUUUUUUUAACUGAAAAUUGGGAUUUUUUUUUAAGUCAGAGAAAACCAGGAUUCCUGCUUAUAUGUCUCCAGAGGUCCAAUAGCAGAAAAAAUUAUGAAGGUCCUUCCUCAUAAGCAAGUGACUCUAAAUGUCACUGCUCCUUCAUAAUAAGGUGAGGUGAAUAUUUUACUAGUAAAUGGCAGAAUGCUCACAGUAGGCAAUAGUAUGGUACCAUUUAGCACCCACACCAUUUUUAAACCCUUUAGAAUAAUAAAAAUGUUAUUAAGAAGCUCAUUCUGAAAGAUAUUGCUGUUUGAACAUGAAAUAAAGAAGGAUUUGUCCUUCAUUUUGAAAACUA
Molecule: long non-coding RNA, 2439 nt
Organism: Alligator mississippiensis (American alligator)
Lineage: Eukaryota; Metazoa; Chordata; Crocodylia; Alligatoridae
Exons: 7
Source: RefSeq, a predicted model, not a curated record